CCCAUUUUCCAUUUCUUUAGCCUUUCCUACCUAAUCUUCCAUUUUCUGUACUCCCCUGCCCUCUAUUCCAGGGCAGCCUGAAAAGUCUACCCAGAGCUAGCCAGGCAGGAGGAAUGAGGGAUGGCCAGGCGGGCCUCCAGUCUGGGAGUCACCACUUAGCGUUCUGCACCUGCGCUGUUUUAGGGUCUGGUCUUCAAUCUGCCCACUCUCUAGUUUCAUUCCUUUCCAGUGGCCCUCGCUGUGGCUGGCUGGGGCCUGCAGGCCGACACUCUGUUCAGAUCUCUAGGGAGGCUGAAGCUAGUCACAGAUGCAGUCAUAGGAAGUCUUUGUCACUUGCCUCUGGGCUUUACAGCUCCCUGCCCUUGCCAGUUGGAGGUUCCCAUUUUCCUUUUGUGCUGUUCGGGGUACUCUGCACCAAAACUCACAGUGGAAGCUGUCAAGAGCCACACCAUACACAGCACUAGGCUGACCACUCCAUGACCUGGAGGCUCCGUUUCUGCCAGGAGGGCCAAAGGCCUCACUCAGUCACAGGUCAACCCUCCUCCCAACCCCGCCUUCGGUUUACCCCUGGUCUGGAGGGAGCCAGGAAACUCUGGAAGAUUCUCUUAUGUGCUUUCAGAUGCAAAGCUCCAUUGUCUUCUGGGCCCUUUGAUUUCCCCAAAGGAAUACUCUGGAUCCCUUAUUGAGUAUCUGUCCCUUUCACCAUCUGCAGUCAGAAGGCUCUGGUGUUUAGAUUUGUAAUGAAAGGAACUCUUCCCCCUCGGACCAAAAUAAAAUUCUUCCAUCGCAUAUCCUUGGAGGCAGCAUUUCUCCAGCCCCUCGGAGAGUCAGUUCCACGGGAAUAGGAAUAGCUGGACUGGGCUGGUGCCCAACACUGCAUCAUAGGAGGACAAUUCAGAUAGAGUGCGGGGUUGGUCCUGUGGGUCGGGUGUCAUCUGAGCAUGAAGAACAGACACCUCUGGGCUUGCCUUUGAAGGCUGGGGCUCUUUUGACUCAGAAGAUAGGGUUUUUCUUUUGUGAGAAGGCUGCUGGUGGAAUCUCCUCUUUCCCAUAGUUCUUGGGCAGGAAGCACUUCUUUUGGGGGGUAUGCAUUCACCAAGCACCCCCAUCAGUUCCUCAGCAUCCUAUGUAGCUUCUCCUAUCCAUCCACACACCUUCAUUUGACUGGUACACAUUUCCAUGCCUCUCAGUUUUAAAUUCCCUUUUCCAUUGUCCUACACACGUUAUCUUAACCGGUACAUUUAGAUAAUAUCAGAGCUGGCUGUUCUCACUUGGAAGAAAUUAAAUAUGUGAGAAAAGUUGCAGCUCCAACACGAAAAACCACCUAAAUUAAUAAUAAGGAUUUGUUCUGAAGCAGAAUUCGGUUGCAGCAGCCUCUUGGCGUUCUUUGCGAGUGAAGCUACUUUUAAGUAAAACAGCAGCUAUUCAUUAUAUAUUCUGUUUUAUUUUAUUUUAUGUUUUUAUUUAAAAAAAAUGGAUGCUGUCUUCGGAUUGGAGAGGGCAGCUGCAGAGGUGGUGGGGGAAGGCCUGCCUGGAACUCUCUGUGAGAAACAAACUAUUUCUGACAUGGGAAAGCCGAUAAAGUCCAUACAUCUAUGUUGUGGCACUUUCAUUUUGGAGCAUUGUGUAUUUUACCUGUGCUGAGACUUCCUUGUGUGAAUGUAUAGGAAUGGGUACUUGAGGGGCCCUGUUUGAAUAGUCUUCUUGAGGGCUGGGCAUCACUCCUGGCUUUAUGGUUGUAUCAGAUCCUCCAGCCCAGGCUGUGUUUGGCUCUCACUCGGGUUCCCUUGUUUCUUCUGGUCUGUUGCCCUCACUUCCCUGACUCUGCCAGUUACAAUUCUGCCAUUGAGUUCUACCCAGAAGGGACAUAGGAGCAUGCUGCCCUGGAGUCAGCUUUGUCUGCUCACAGUGAGUGGGACAGGGCUGUAUUUCCUAACAUGGGGUGAGGCCUGCCCCCGACAUCUUUUGUUUCCUGGGCAUCUGAAGAAUCUGGUACAUGGGAUUCUUUCAAUGGAUGUGGGACAGGUAGGUCACAGAGAUGUGGUCCAACCCUUGGUUUAGUCUCAGGACAUUUCACGUAACUUGGUAGCAUAAGCUGGUGUUAUCCAAGGGCCAGAGGUGGAGGAGGGGACAAGGCCCUGUAGUCACUAGGGGAAGAGUCUAGAACCGAAAGCCAUACCUACCUAGUGAUGAAAUUUAUUGUUUUGUCAUAAACCUUAUAAAUCCUCAUAUAAAUUUCUCAUCAAUGGCACUGAACCCUCCAUAGGUGAGGUCAGAAAGAGCCCCCUUUGGGGUUGGUUUUGCCCCUAAGCCUCUGCACAGCGUGGUUCUUGAUUUUUCUAGCUGGAUACUUCAUGUUUUCCAAUCACAAGGCUUCCUGCCCAGGUGAAGAUGUGGACGGUUGACACAGGACAGCACCUUGAAGACAAGGGUGUCAGUGGGGACAGCAGCUGUCACUCACUCUGCUCUCGGACAGUGAAUAAUGGUGCAGAAGCUGUGAGUGUAGAAGCGGCAUCCUUGUCCUGGAACAUCGGAGCUAUGUAAAAUUAACAAACAGUUCUCUCACUCCUCAUUUGCUCCUGACUGAACUUUUCAAUAAACGGAUCCUAAUGACGGAGCAAGCGUUCCUAGCAGAAGCAGCCUCUAGGUGAGGCGAUUGGGAAAGGUUGUUUUGUGUGCAAUAAGUGACGCUUUGGAUCUAACAUAGAUAUGUUUCUGCUCUUAGGGCUGGUCCCCUAAUGAAUGCACACACACACACACACACAAACACACACACUCAUAUUUACAUAUGCAGAGGCAGAAUUUGCAUGUAUUCAUCUGAUAUAUAUAUAUAUAUGCUAUCAUAUUCACUUGUAUGUCUAACUCGUUAUACAUGUACCCAAAUGCAUGUAUCCAUGUUAGACGCAUACGUGUCUAAAUACUCACGUUCAUGCAGUUAUAGUGUGCAUGAUGUGUACAAUUAUGCACACAGACGUAUGCCUCUAUAAUCAUAUCUAAGCAUUAUUGGUUACACAUGCACACAGGCUCUUGUAGAAUGUAUUGGGCUCCUGUGUACCCUCAGAGACUCACACAUACUCACACCUGUGUGUGUGUGUGUGUGCAUGUGUGUGUGUAAGUGAACACUAGCCUUCAUGCUCAUUCACACACAGGCGUCAUGUAACAAGGGAAAUGCAGCACCAGUGGGGUUAAUGGAGGCCCCAGACUCCCAUAAAUAUUUAUAGGAAGCACUCAAGCUCUCAAAGUGGGAGACGAAACCUCUCGUCUUGAGCCCCUGUAAAUCACACGGGCUGCUGUGUGCUACCUGUCAGAUCCAGGCUGUUCUCUGCAAAGGCGACACAUACAUGUUGGAGCUGCUGUAGCCAAGGGUCAGAGGUGACGGGGACAAGGCCCUGUGGUCAUCCCUUGAUAAGAGUCCCCAGGAAAGGGUCUAGAACAGAAAUCCAUACCUGUCAAGUGAUGAAAUUUAAUUUUUGUUACCAAGCCUUAUAAUCUCUCUACAAAUUUCUCAUCAACGACAUUCAAUUCAGUGUAGGUGAGGGGGUCAGAAAGAGCCAUCUUUGAGGACCGGUUUUCCCCAUGGUCAUCCCAGUGCCUCGCCAGGUGUCCAUCAAAUAUGUUGUGGUCACCCCACUCCUAGGGACACUGCUUCAAGAGUCAAGUGAAGCAGCUUAGUCCUGCUGCUGCUGCUGUUGCUGCUGUUCCUGCUGUUGCUGUUGCUGCCUGCUGCAUUCAGGGAUGCAGACUGGAGAGGCAUUUUGUGACUAUGUGAGACUCUGCUGCUCAGUGGAGGGACAGCAUCUCGAGCUGAUUGAGGAGUCAAGGAGGAUGUUCUCAGAAAGCAGAACCUGGGUGAAGGGGCGGGGCGUACUUGAAGAAGGACAUUUCCGCUGUCCAAUAGGACUGGAGAUCAGUGAGGACAGGUGGACGUGGAUGUCUGUGGGAGUUCAAGCUCUGAAGGUUUUCAGACCCCGCGUUUCUGUCACUGUCCCAAGCAAGCGGUCUAGAAGGAGAACAUCUUCCCUUCUUCCUUAUUCUGGGCCAUAACAGGACCUUGGAGAAACUCGUCUGGUGGAAACAGGGAGAACAGGCACGCAUGACCCUGCCUGUGCUGCGUGGUGCUUGCGUUCAAACCCAGAGCUUUCUCCACGCUAGGCAGGCUUUCUACCUCCUGCCCUACAUCCCUGCCCUGAUGCUCACUUUAAAUAAAACAGUCAUAUUUGUAUCCCUCAUUGCAUCCACUCCUCUUCUCUCUCCCCCUCCAGACUCCUCUUGUAAUCCCCUACACC
Long non-coding RNA from Myodes glareolus (Bank vole), 4286 nucleotides. RefSeq lists it as uncharacterized. The record is from RefSeq and is a predicted model, not a curated record. Lineage: Eukaryota; Metazoa; Chordata; Mammalia; Rodentia; Cricetidae.